This 74-nucleotide transfer RNA is filed under the name Otolemur garnettii (small-eared galago). It matches the Rfam family "tRNA". Rfam says of the family: Transfer RNA (tRNA) molecules are approximately 80 nucleotides in length. Their secondary structure includes four short double-helical elements and three loops (D, anti-codon, and T loops). Lineage: Eukaryota; Metazoa; Chordata; Mammalia; Primates; Galagidae. The record is from Rfam by way of RNAcentral.
GUGCCUGUGGCUCAAAGGAGUAGGGCACUGGCUUCAUAUGCCAGAGGUGGCAGGUUCAAACCUGACCCUGGCCA